RNAcentral lists this ribosomal RNA (168 nucleotides) under uncultured bacterium. RNAcentral's name for it is "partial 16S ribosomal RNA". It matches the Rfam family "Bacterial small subunit ribosomal RNA", at positions 338 to 523 of the family's 1533-position model. The record is from RNAcentral.
CCUACGGGAGGCAGCAGUGGGGAAUCUUGGACAAUGGGCGAAAGCCUGAUGCAGCCAUGCCGCGUGAGUGAUGAAGGCCCUAGGGUCGUAAAACUCUUUCGCCAGGGAUGAUAAUGACAGUACCUGGUAAAGAAACCCCGGCUAACUCCGUGCCAGCAGCCGCGGUAA